This 216-nucleotide ribosomal RNA is filed under the name Glomeromycotina sp. Its description in RNAcentral is "partial small subunit ribosomal RNA". The stretch from base 40 to 216 matches the Rfam family "Eukaryotic small subunit ribosomal RNA", at positions 686 to 864 of the family's 1831-position model. The record is from RNAcentral. Lineage: Eukaryota; Fungi; Glomeromycota.
GGGUCAGUAGGUUGGUCGUGCCACCGGUACGUACUGGUCUCACUGAUUCCUCCUUCCUGAAGAACCGUAAUGCCAUUAAUUUGGUGUUGCGGGGAAACAGGACUGUUACUUUGAAAAAAUUAGAGUGUUUAAAGCAAGCUAACGCUUGAAUACAUUAGCAUGGGAUAAUGAAGUAGGACGAUCGAUCCUAUUUUGUUGGUUCCUAGGAUUGGCGUA